RNAcentral lists this unclassified non-coding RNA (642 nucleotides) under uncultured Prochlorococcus sp. RNAcentral describes it as "partial 16S-23S ribosomal RNA intergenic spacer; may also contain 16S ribosomal RNA and 23S ribosomal RNA". The stretch from base 305 to 377 matches the Rfam family "tRNA". The record is from RNAcentral. Lineage: Bacteria; Bacillati; Cyanobacteriota; Cyanophyceae; Synechococcales; Prochlorococcaceae.
UUGUGGAGGAGGACGCCGAAGGUGGGGCUAAUGACUGGGGUGAAGUCGUAACAAGGUAGCCGUACCGGAAGGUGCGGCUGGAUCACCUCCUAACAGGGAGACAACAAAAUGUUUAAUUUUAUUAUUUUGUCACCUUAGGUCGAUCGGUAUCUCACAUUCUUGAUUUAUCAAGAAUUUCAUUUCCUAAGUUUUUCUAGGUCACACCCAUUAUUUUUCCUGGGCCAUUAGCUCAGGUGGUUAGAGCGCACCCCUGAUAAGGGUGAGGUCCCUGGUUCAAGUCCAGGAUGGCCCAUAUCUCUAUGUUGGGGGUAUAGCUCAGUUGGUAGAGCGCCUGCUUUGCAAGCAGGAUGUCAGCGGUUCGAGUCCGCUUACCUCCACUGGUCACCACCUCUUCCAUAUCCCAAGGAAAUCUUUUGAGUUGUGAUCAAAUUCUGAACGAAUCUAGCUUCCUAAUAUAAAUUAUUAAGAUGCUGGACUCAUUGAAUUAAUUUCAUUGUUUUCAGAGAACCUUGACAACUGCAUAGAUUAUUUUUAAAGACAAUAAGCAUCUUUAAUGAUGCAGAUUUAUUAUUUGUGCAUAUGCAUUAAUAACAAUUCUAUUAAGCUGAUGCUUCAAUUUUGAAGUUAUUGGUCAAGCUACAA